RNAcentral lists this ribosomal RNA (318 nucleotides) under Triticum aestivum (bread wheat). RNAcentral describes it as "partial small subunit ribosomal RNA". Lineage: Eukaryota; Viridiplantae; Streptophyta; Magnoliopsida; Poales; Poaceae. The record is from RNAcentral.
AUGUUUAAUCAUUUUGAUAUGACCUCUAAUCUUGGUGGUGGUUCAUCAAUGUUGGGAUGGUUUAAUGAUAAGCAUUGUCAAUCCUUUGAUAUGAAUAAGAGCGUCACUUAUAUGGGCAAACUAAGUUGCAAUAUUUUCAUGCCUUUGACUUGUUGUGAUAAUAUAUUGGCUUCAUAUUUUAUGAUUUUUCAAAGGUGCUCUUGUAUAAUUAUGUCACAUGUGCCACAAUUGAGAUCAGUAAAAAUUGAUGACAUAUACAUAUACAAUGUGUACACUUUGUCUCUUUUGUUAGCCACAUUUCGGAUUAACCAGCGCUGA